GCGUGAGUGGCGGAACGGCAGACGCGCACGGUUCAGGUCCGUGUAUUCGUAAGGGUGUGGGGGUUCAAAUCCCCUCUCGCGCAC
Molecule: transfer RNA, 84 nt
Filed under: uncultured Actinomycetes bacterium
Lineage: Bacteria; Bacillati; Actinomycetota; Actinomycetes
Also listed under: 1 other name
Description: tRNA-Ser
Rfam family: tRNA
About the family: Transfer RNA (tRNA) molecules are approximately 80 nucleotides in length.
Source: RNAcentral